GCCAGGGUGGUGAAAUUGGUAGACACGCAGGAUUUAGGAUCCUGUGGGGAUUAAACCUCGUGCAGGUUCGAGUCCUGUCCCUGGCA
This 86-nucleotide transfer RNA is filed under the name Candidatus Woesebacteria bacterium RIFCSPHIGHO2_01_FULL_39_95. Its description in RNAcentral is "tRNA-Leu". It matches the Rfam family "tRNA". Rfam says of the family: Transfer RNA (tRNA) molecules are approximately 80 nucleotides in length. Their secondary structure includes four short double-helical elements and three loops (D, anti-codon, and T loops). Further hydrogen bonds mediate the characteristic L-shaped molecular structure. tRNAs have two regions of fundamental functional importance: the anti-codon, which is responsible for specific mRNA codon recognition, and the 3' end, to which the tRNAs corresponding amino acid is attached (by aminoacyl-tRNA synthetases). tRNAs cope with the degeneracy of the genetic code in two manners: having more than one tRNA (with a specific anti-codon) for a particular amino acid; and 'wobble' base-pairing, i.e. permitting non-standard base-pairing at the 3rd anti-codon position. Lineage: Bacteria; Candidatus Woeseibacteriota. The record is from RNAcentral. RNAcentral also lists the same sequence under 4 other names.